CCGGCAGCCAAGAUCUGGGUGCCACCACCGGAGAAUCAUGCUAAGGUGAACGUUGACGCAGCCGUUAGCCGCAGCGGUCGUCAUGGGGCAGUCGCGGCCAUCAGCCGUAGCGGAGAUGGGACCUUUCAGGGGGCGUCAAUGGUCGUAUUCCAGACGGUGAUCGACCCUGCUACUUUGGAGGCCAUGGCGAUAAGGGAAGGGAUUGCCCUCUCAAUGGACUUGAACAAUCAGAACGUUCACAUAGCUUCAGAUUGCAAGAAUGUGGUACAAGAGAUCAAGGAAGGGAGGAGAUCAAGCUAUGGUGCUAUAAUCCACGAGAUUAGUCUAGGCCUUAAUGCCUUUAUUUCAUGUAAUAUAGUUUACAAAAGUAGGAGCUCGAACUUUGAGGCUCACAAUCUAGCGAAGCAUGCUUUACACUUGGGACCGGGCCGCCAUGUAUGGCUAGCUCACCCUGGAAACCUUCUGUCCGUCCCUGUAAAUGUGGUGACGAAUUAA
RNAcentral lists this ribosomal RNA (495 nucleotides) under Triticum aestivum (bread wheat). RNAcentral describes it as "partial small subunit ribosomal RNA". The record is from RNAcentral. Lineage: Eukaryota; Viridiplantae; Streptophyta; Magnoliopsida; Poales; Poaceae.